UUUCUAUAUUUGGUUCAUCAAUGAGAACAAUUAGAAGAAAUACUUGGUGGUGGUCUAACUUACGUAAAACGUCGUGAGGUAGCAUUGCUGUGAUAUUUUUAAAAUAUACAAAAAGGCUUGUC
This is a regulatory RNA element of 122 nucleotides. It matches the Rfam family "Bacteroidete tryptophan peptide leader RNA". The record is from Rfam.